GUAACACGUGGGUAACCUACCUACAAGCGGGGGAUAACAUUCGGAAACGGAUGCUAAUACCGCAUAGAUCUUUUUGUCUCCUGGCAGAAAGAAGAAAGACGGUUUCGGCUGUCACUUGUAGAUGGACCCGCGGCGCAUUAGUUAGUUGGUGAGGUAAUGGCUCACCAAGACGAUGAUGCGUAGCCGACCUGAGAGGGUGAUCGGCCACACUGGGACUGAGACACGGCCCAGACUCCUACGGGAGGCAGCAGUAGGGAAUCUUCCGCAUUGGACGAAAGUCUGACGGAGCAACGCCGCGUGAGUGAAGAAGGUUUUCGGAUCGUAAAACUCUGUUGUUAGAGAAGAACAAGGAUGAGAGUAACUGCUCGUCCCUUGACGGUAUCUAACCAGAAAGCCAUGGCUAACUACGUGCCAGCAGCCGCGGUAAUACGUAGAUGGCAAGCGUUGUCCGGAUUUAUUGGGCGUAAAGCGUGCGCAGGCGGUUCUUUAAGUCUGAUGUGAAAGCCCCUGGCUCAACCAGGGAGGGUCAUUGGAAACUGGAGAACUUGAGUGCAGAAGAGGAAAGUGGAAUUCCAUGUGUAGCGGUGAAAUGCGUAGAUAUAUGGAGGAACACCAGUGGCGAAGGCGACUUUCUGGUCUGUAACUGACGCUGAGGCU
This 657-nucleotide ribosomal RNA is filed under the name uncultured bacterium. Its description in RNAcentral is "bacterial SSU rRNA". It matches the Rfam family "Bacterial small subunit ribosomal RNA", at positions 110 to 753 of the family's 1533-position model. The record is from RNAcentral.